CCUUCCGUAGGUGAACCUGCGGAAGGAUCAUUAGAAUUACAUUUACACACUGUUUUGGAGGAGCAAACAAAUAACAUUUUUAUUCAACUGACUAAAAUCAAAACUUUCAACAACGGAUCUCUUGGUUCUCGCAUCGAUGAAGAACGCAGCGAAUUGCGAUACGUAAUAUGACUUGCAGACGUGAAUCAUUGAAUUUUUGAACGCACAUUGCGCCUCGAGGCAUUCCUCGAGGCAUGUUUGUUUGAGCGUUGGUAUUCCUCGCCCUAAAGUUUCUACUUUCCUGAUGUUCUUCGAACAUCAGGCCAGGGCGGCCUUGCCCCGAAAUACCACAGGUUUUGUUCACAUGUCUACAAAACCCCCACCCCAACCUCAAAUCAAACAAGACUACCCGCUGAACUUAAGCAUAUCAAUAAGCGGAGGAA
RNAcentral lists this ribosomal RNA (422 nucleotides) under Clavispora aff. fructus. RNAcentral describes it as "eukaryotic LSU rRNA". The stretch from base 102 to 251 matches the Rfam family "5.8S ribosomal RNA". The record is from RNAcentral. Lineage: Eukaryota; Fungi; Ascomycota; Pichiomycetes; Serinales; Metschnikowiaceae.